GAUGAACGCUGGCGGCGUGCCUAAUACAUGCAAGUCGAGCGAACAGACGAGGAGCUUGCUCCUCUGACGUUAGCGGCGGACGGGUGAGUAACACGUGGAUAACCUACCUAUAAGACUGGGAUAACUUCGGGAAACCGGAGCUAAUACCGGAUAAUAUAUUGUACCGCAUGGUUCAAUAGUGAAAGACGGUUUUGCUGUCACUUAUAGAUGGAUCCGCGCCGCAUUAGCUAGUUGGUAAGGUAACGGCUUACCAAGGCGACGAUGCGUAGCCGACCUGAGAGGGUGAUCGGCCACACUGGAACUGAGACACGGUCCAGACUCCUACGGGAGGCAGCAGUAGGGAAUCUUCCGCAAUGGGCGAAAGCCUGACGGAGCAACGCCGCGUGAGUGAUGAAGGUCUUCGGAUCGUAAAACUCUGUUAUUAGGGAAGAACAAAUGUGUAAGUAACUAUGCACGUCUUGACGGUACCUAAUCAGAAAGCCACGGCUAACUACGU
RNAcentral lists this ribosomal RNA (496 nucleotides) under uncultured bacterium. RNAcentral describes it as "partial 16S ribosomal RNA". It matches the Rfam family "Bacterial small subunit ribosomal RNA", at positions 28 to 506 of the family's 1533-position model. The record is from RNAcentral.